RNAcentral lists this ribosomal RNA (403 nucleotides) under uncultured bacterium. Its description in RNAcentral is "partial 16S ribosomal RNA". It matches the Rfam family "Bacterial small subunit ribosomal RNA", at positions 28 to 526 of the family's 1533-position model. The record is from RNAcentral.
GACGAACGCUGGCGGCGUGCCUAAUACAUGCAAGUCGAACGCAGUGGGGACGGGUGAGUAACACGUGGGUAACCUCCCAUCAGAGGGGGGAACACUUGGAAACAGGUGCUCAACCGAUACGGCAGGAGGAAACAGCGGUGCAUUGGCUAAUUGGUGAGGUAACGGCUCACCAAGGCCACGAUGCAUAGCCGACCUUAGAGUGUGAUCGGCCACCCUGGGACUGAUACACGGCCCAGACUCCUACGGGAGGCAGCAGUAGGGAAUCUUCGGCAAUGGACGAAAGCCUGACCGAGCAACGCCGCGUGAGUGAAGAAGGUUUUCGGAUCGUAAAACUCUGUUGUUAGAGAAGCGUUACCUACCCAGAAAGCCACGGCUAACUACGUGCCAGCAGCCGCGGUAAUAC